AGAGUUUGAUCCUGGCUCAGGACGAACGCUGGCGGCGUGCUUAACACAUGCAAGUCGAACGGAAAGGCCCUGCUUUUGUGGGGUGCUCGAGUGGCGAACGGGUGAGUAACACGUGAGUAACCUGCCCUUGACUUUGGGAUAACUUCAGGAAACUGGGGCUAAUACCGGAUAGGAGCUCCUGCUGCAUGGUGGGGGUUGGAAAGUUUCGGCGGUUGGGGAUGGACUCGCGGCUUAUCAGCUUGUUGGUGGGGUAACGGCCCACCAAGGCGACGACGGGUAGCUGGUCUGAGAGGACGAUCAGCCACACUGGGACUGAGACACGGCCCAGACUCCUACGGGAGGCAGCAGUGGGGAAUAUCGCGCAAUGGGCGAAAGCCUGACGCAGCAACGCCGCGUGAGGGAUGAAGGCCUUCGGGUUGUAAACCUCUUUCGAGCAGGGACGA
This 443-nucleotide ribosomal RNA is filed under the name uncultured bacterium. RNAcentral describes it as "bacterial SSU rRNA". It matches the Rfam family "Bacterial small subunit ribosomal RNA", at positions 8 to 448 of the family's 1533-position model. The record is from RNAcentral.